UCCAUGGCUAAGUGGCUUAACCCCAACUAUGUCGUGGACACCCUCGAAUGGAGUGACUUUGACAUAAUCAAAGAUCAAGGACUUAACCACAAGACAACUAUGAUGCCUCAGGUCAAAGGACUACUUUGCAUUAUCCCAACCAUGAGUUCUCACGUGACAUGAAUAUGAGAACUCUUCGUUGAUCGUGUUCAGUGAACUCAUUCUCUAUUACGCACCUACGUACUUGUCUUGAUGUCACACAUACCAAUGACUCAAGACUAGUCACUCUCCCUGAGAGAAGACACAACACGUACUGAUCUUAACGGACUGUCAAUGCCCAAUUGGCAAUCCUAUGAUCAGGAACAUUUAGGAUAUGUAUACGAAAGAAUGGUCUCAUGAAUCUAACUUCUUUAGAUUGCAUUCUCCCAAUCACAUAUUCCUUGGACUUAUCGUUUAAGCAUAUUACAUGUAUAUGAGACGACUCAAACAAUAACCUUUUGCCCUUUAUAUUUAAACUACAUUAGUUUAACUUGUGAAAUGUCCGUAAAGUAUCAUCAUAUGAUUGGUUUUAAGCUCCUACUUUCAUGCCUUCAAGCUCCUACUUUCUUCCCCCAUCAAUAUUAAAAGUAAAAACAUACUUUAUAUUUAUAAAUUCGAAAUUGUAUAAUAACGUAUGGUCAAAAAUAUGUACGUAUAAUACGAUAAUGUCAAAAUAGAUAUGUACUAACAUAAAGGUCAAAAAACUUGUACUGAACUUUAAAGUCGAAAGUGACAAAGUCUCAACCGAACAUUUGUAACGUCAAAAAUACAAAAAUAUUACUAUAAUAAGGUAAGUUAAAAUACUUGUACUGAAAAUCAAAAUAAAAAAUGGAAGGGUCUCGCCCAAGCAUUCGUAACGUCACAUACUUCGAGAUCAAAUGUGUCUUUGGGUCGAGCCCCAACAAUAACUAAAAGUAACAACUAUCGAAGACGAGUCUACUUGUCCACUUGCUUAACGAACCCAACAAAUAUGCCAUCGAUAUUACAGUCGGCCGCCCGCGAUAUCGACAACACAUUGUUGUCUCCAUAAGCAAGUAGUAAUUUCCUAAGGGUGCAAACAUACCAAUUUGUCCAAACCCAAGUCAACAACAACACAAGCACACAGUUUCUCAAAUCAUAAAAUCAAACAUCCAAAAACCAACUCGUAGAACUCCAUUGUCUAACCAGUGUUGCCAAUAGAAUCUAUCACACCAAGUAUCAAAUAGUGCCACACAAACUAAAAAUAAAACUAUCGUCGUAACUACUCCAAAAGAGAUCGGUGCAAAAUCUAGUCAUUUAGAAACCACAAAUCAAAAGAAUGCAACACAUCAUUCAAGAUCUAUAUAGUUUGUUCAGACUAUUCAACAGUCUAUAAAUAAAAAUGUGAUGCAGGACAAACAACCUAGUACUCAAGGUCUUCAAGAAUCUUCACAAAACUUAGAUGUGAAACACGCAUCACGAAUAAUAAGGUCCUGGAAUGAAGUAGUCGAAAGAUGCGUAGAGGCGAACACAUAUCGUAAACAUGUCUUUCAUGACUAACCGAUCAUCGCUCUCCUAGCUGAGAAGUACAAGGUUCGAAACCUAAAUUAUAAAAACAAUCACUCGGACUACUUCCUUCGAAUAAUGAAUGUCGUUCCAAACCAUUCACAGAAACUGGCUUAAACCUCAAGGCCACAUGAAACUCUUCUUGAUAAGUCUGGUUGGCUUGCGAGAAGGUUAUGCUCUAAAUAUUCCUGUUAGCAUCGUUAUGAAACUGGGCACACACAUCCGCCAAGUCGAUCUAUCGUGAGUUCCUCACUAAUUGAGCAUGAAACCACGUCGAGAAGGCUAAAAGAACACUCUAAGAUUUGAGGGUCAAAACAAGUCCAUUAAAUCUAGAGCACAACAAAUCUAGAUUUGAAUAUACAACUCUGAUGCUUGACUUUAUACAAGUACCUAGCUUGAUUCUGUGGUGGUAAGUCGAGAUCGUUGAGUGCAGACUCAACUCAAUGGUAGUCUAUAGUAAUUUGAUGGACAAAAACUCAAACUUAUUCUCCAUUCCAAAAAUUCACCACAACUUGUUACUACGAUAACCUCAGGGAUAUUCAAUCACCAGUGGUAAUGAUUCAUUCGAUAGGGUAAUACUAGGUGAUUGAAUGACUGAUGGUUCCAACUAAAACUUUCAAAUCUGAGUGGUUCUCCUGAAUAGUCUCUCUGCUAUAGAAAAUAUACAAAGUGAAAUGAUACGAAGUGUUGUAGGGUAAGCACGAACCCAAAGUUGAGUAAAAAGUUUUCUAAUACCAUGGGUGAAACUGAGAUCACAGUUGAAAUCAAUGGGAAUCGAGACGUUGGUCUAACAAAGUCUAGAAUGAUUUUUUUUUUUUUUUUGCCAAGUGGUCAAAAUUAUAGUCCUCACAAACUGGUAGAUACUACAACGAGUGAGUUGAUCAACAAAUUCGAAAUGUCAUCAUAGUCUCCACAUGUACAAGAUGGUUUGUACCUGAAAUCUAUGGUGACAUUCAACCAUUUCCAUUCGCAUCACCAGUGGGUCCCCGACAACCCAAGAAGGACAACCAUGGGAAUUUCUUCCAUCUCCGAACAGGAAUAAAACGAAAUUGAGAUAAGCCCGAUGGCUUCCAUCUCACCACUUCCAUUACUAACUCAGCCAUUUAUGUGUGAAACACACUACAACCGUUUUGGUAAAAAAAGAUGCAACAUUUCUCGCUGUAGAGAAAACAUCACCAAAUUUUUCAGGAAGGAAGAUCAUUAUCAGUUCUAGGUCAAAGGUAGGAUGGUUCACAUCAUGCGGUUCCAAUCGUCAAGAGGCACAUGCGUGAGAUUUUGUUGCAUCAUUGUGCAGCCAAACAUUUAAUAAUACACCACCGCAGAAUUCGAAAAGUGUAAAAACUACAAUCAGAUGAGACAAUACCCCAUUAUCAGCAUCGCAAUAAGGUUGACCGGUUUCUUAGCCAAAAAGGAUGUAGGUCUAAGCUCAAAGAAUAGUUAAGAACUACUGAUAGGAUUUGACGAGGUGAAAAUUAACUUGACACACAAAUUCAACCCUAUAGAUGACAAUUGUAGUAUUAAGCAAGUAGGGAUUGUUCUAGACCGGGGAUUAACUAGGGAUGCUAAUCAACACAAAUAAGACUCAAAAACACUAAACUAGACUCUAUAGACUCAAAACUGACUUAAAACACUAAAACAUCAAGAAACAACCAAAAAGACUCAAUUCCAGACCUAACAAGUGAUUUGGACGAAAAUAAGACUUAACUUGACUCAAAAGAUUAAAAGAAAACAGGUUUUGACUCUAAAAACAAGACUUAAGAAAAAGGGAUUUUGUUUUGACGAAAUUAAAACUUAAAAACAAAAACUUGUAAAACAAACAUAAGAAGACACGAAAUUGAUGAAAUAGAAUGGUGAAAGGCUAGUUAGAGGGUUCCUUCUCCACACAUGACAUAUGCAUACGAAUCGAUUUCCAAUUAUUCUUUCGACAAACCAUGAAUGACAAUGCCCCAAAUUAAUUGUAUUGGACUAAUUAAUUCUCAGAUUUCCCUAAAUUCAUUGAAUUGAAUGGAAAACGCAUUACAACCAAAUUAUUCUUUAUCAAGUUCCCUAACUAUGGAAUAUGCAUGAUAGAAACACUUAACAGAGAUCAUUAAGUUCAAUGGAAACCAUAAGCAUUGACGAGGCAUUCCUAACUAUUAAAAGCAUGUUACUCUUGCCUAGGAUUUACUUAACACAAUCGUGACUAGCGACUUUUACUACUCAUGAAUAUAAGUUCAUAACGAUUAGGUGAAAUUUCCUUAUACUCUAGCAUCAAAUUCAUGCAUGCAAACUAAGUUGGCCACCUUAAUCAACAUACAAGAACAAGUUCUUAAUAAAACAGAUAAGCAAACCACAUUCACGAUUCAUGAAACAAUAAUUGGAGGAAAUCAAUUCAUAUAAAACAUAUGAUCAUGGCUUCGAAUUCACCUCUAACUAUAAAGAAAUUAGUUCCUCAUGUUCGCAAUUAAACAAAGAUAACUUAAAUUAAACAUUGAAAGUAAAAGAUGGAAAACACCUAAGAACGCUCCAGCACUCCCAAAGACUUAGGCAUAGGCACGGCACAAAGGCUCCUCCUCUUUCUCCUUGCAAUACUCACGGCACAAUGAGGGGUGAAUGUGUUUGAGGGAUGUAUGAGUGUAGAAAAAUAUGGUAGAGGGUGGUGAAUGAUUUGUGUGGCAAGGGUGUGUAUUUAUAGGCUGAAAUACAUUUCACAAUCCCUAAGGAUUUGGAUAGGUUUCUGAAAUUAAAGUGGGACAAGGAUUAUAUAACCAAAAUCCAAGUGGAAUGGGUUAAAUCAAUCAGAAACCAAAGGAAAGAAGGAUAGCAAAGGUGCGGCAGGUUUAAGAGAAAGGAUAAGGCUUUUAGAAAGGAUGUUCCAGCACUUAUUUCUAAUCCUAAAUGAAUAAGGAACACGACAUGGUUUUAGAGAAGGAUUACAAGUCCUAAUUCACCUAAGUAAGGGCAUAUAUGUGGCACUUAAGGGAUAAGGGUUCUAGAAUCUGAAAUAUAUGUUUUAAAUGCAUAAUUAUCCCUUAGAAAUAGCUGGAAUUAAGGCACAAAUUGAUUUGGAUAACAUAAGAUUGGAUAAUGCUAGAUUAGGAAAGGAUAAGAUAAGAUAAGGUUAGUUUGGAUAAGAUAAGAUUGGAUAAGGUUUUGGAUAAUGUUCCUUCUUUUGAGCUAAUUCCUUAUCUUCUUUGUCUUGGAUUUAUUUCUUCACUCUUUUCAGCUCAUUCCUAGCCUCUUGAACUUCAAAUUCGUCCAUCCAUCUUGCUCCAUUCAUAAGCUAUCCAUUUGAUGCCCAAAACUGCCUAAAAAAGCUCCAAAUUGCACUUUCUUGCCAACUUUGUCAUAUGGACCUACAAACACACGAGAAUAGCUUAAAACACUAUAAUAAACACAAACUAACUAUGAAAACGGAAGAAAAUAAGCUAACUAAGUCGCAUAAAUAUGCUCCUAUCACGAGGCCAAAGACAUUUCGUAUUUCACAACACCAUGUGAGGAUUUUCAAUUUCCAAAAGUCGCAACCUCUUUUGGAAAUUGAUGAGAAUAACAUCUGCUAUCAAAGAAACUCCCAAGAAAAGUAUCUACAUUAAACAAAAUAACAUUCGAAGAAUUUGACGUAUAGCUGACAGUCGAUGUUUAGUGAACUUGACCUCGUGAUUAGAGUAAGCAUUCAGAUUAUCGAUAGAACAAUCGCCGAGAAUCGUUCUAAGGAUCCACUUGAAUUUCCUCAGCUAGAGCGAGUCCGAGGACAUUAAUUCAGUCCCACUAAUUAACACUUACUAAACUUCACCACAUCUAGCGCUUACUAGCCUUCUCCAACACGCACUUCAAAUGCUAUGAAUAUUUUCCAUAUAGACAUGACUCUACCCGCCAUUCCUAGGGAACACAUGUCGUAGACAUCACCAUUUUAGGUCUCCAAACUCAAACCAUUUAGAUUCUUUCAUUUCACCACACUCCUAAGUAAACACGACUCUGCCCGCAAUUCCUAGGGAACGCAUGUUGCAGAGUUACAGUUCGAUGUUGAAAGUCGUCCAACAAUCCACCACGUCACCAAUGAGGCAUAAACCUGACACAAGAUUUCUUAUUCUUCAAUAUGAUGUGACUAUUAUGCAGAAUAAGGGUUACACCACUGUGCCAAAUGACAACAAAUCUAAAAGUCGUGACAUCCAAAUGAGGUCAUCACCGACAACAGAAGAUCCUAAGUAUACUCUAAAUAAACCACACUCUAAAUAAACCAUACUAAUAUGCAUGAAAACCAAUGAAAAUAGAUAAGACUUAUAAAUUUAAAUACAAUGUAUAUGCAAAUGAGGAACGUAUUUAGAGCAUACAACUAAUCUAGAACACUAAAAAGAAAUACUGUAAAAUUGAAUGAACAAAGAGAUGGGUCAUACACCGAGAGGACUCGAAGAUGCUGAUGCGGGAGUGCCUUGACGUCGAGAUUAUACGUCUCGAUUCUAAGUCCUGAGGGGGUGCAAAACAAAACAUGAGUGUACCAAGUUGAUAUAUAAGUAGUAUUAAAACAUAAUUAUUCAACAACGUACUAACCCCAGGUUUAGAAAACUCGUAUAGCAUAAUAAGUAAUAGGUUUUCCGAAAACCCUAGCAUGCCAUAAAACUUUCAUAAAACAUAUAUUAUAUAAUGUGCUUAGUAGUGGUAUAUCUAUAAGGCAUAUACAUACAUAUAUAUAUAAUAUUUCAUUUGGCCGAAGGCAUAUAGAACACUUCUUCCUUCAUCCAAAAGUUCUACAUCACGCGCCCGUAGGUAGAUCAUUUGCCUGUCAUUCGUCCGUAGGCCCUACAUCUCCUGGCCGAAGCCAAUAUAAGUAUAUUUCAACCCAUAGGGCCCUACAUCACCCACCAAAGCCAAUAAAUAGAUAUCAUUCGACCCGUAGGCCCCUACAUCACCCGUAGGCAGGACCGUUCGAAUAACAAUUAAGUAAGUACAUAAAUAUAUAUCUAUCUUAAUCAAAGUUAAAUAGAUAAAACGUCAUAUCGUAAAACCUAUUCGUAGUAUAAUUUGAUCAAUCAUAUAUACUACAAAGAACGUGAAAAUUGAUAAAGUAUGGUAUUCCAAAAUAUUCUUAGUAAAGCAUGAUAUCUCAUAAAGUGUAAAUCUAAUUUACUCAUAAACAUUUUGUUUGUACCAUACUUGACCAAUCCCACAACUACUUAGCACCGGUCAACGUUAUACCGUCAAGGACCCAUUAGAGUUUCCCUCCAACCAGGAGGCCAAUCACAAUGCGACACGUGUCGACAUCAGAAACCAAUCACAGCGCGACACGUGUCAACAUCAGAAGCCAAUCACAAUACGACACGUGUCAAUGUCAAAACAAAGCUAGAAACUCUUCUAUAAAAGGAGAUCAUUCUCCCACAAUAUUUCCUAAUGUCAUUUGUACUAAAUCAUUCACUUGUACUCACUAAAGGAGAGCUUGAACCUAUGUACUUGUGUAAACCCUUCACAAUUAAUGAGAACUCCUCUACUCCAUGGACGUAGCCAAUCUGGGUGAACUACGUACAUCUUGUGUUUGCUUCCCUGUCUCUAUCCAUUUACAUACUUAUCCACACUAGUGACCGGAGCAAUCUGGCGAAGGUCACAAACUUGACAUUUUCUGUUGUACCAAAGUCCUCACUGAUUUUGUGCAUCAACACAUUUCAUAAAACAUAACCAUUAAAUGAUGUUUUUCAUGUAAUGCAUUUCUAAUAGUAAAAUUAUGUAUUUUGGAAGAGAUCCAAUCACCUUACACCGUUGGUGAAAAGCCAUGCAAACAAGAGAGGAUGGAAUUGCCAUACACAAUUGCACCUAAGCACAUAAAGGUACCAAUUAAUACAACUCUAUCAUAACUAUUGAAUUUGGGGAAAUGGACAUCAGAAACAUAUUCAGGAUGUCGAAUUACCCUAAGAAGGGUCCAGGCCAAAUUUUGUAAAAGUCAAGACAAAGUCAACACCAAGAAUAUUCUCUAACAGAAUAUUCCACAUAAUAUUCCCUAACAGAAUAUUCCACAUAAUAUUCCAUCUGGGUUGGGCCGGUUCAGCCGAGUUGGGCCGCAAGUUUGUGCCAAGAGUUUGGGUCAGGUCCUUUGGCCCAAAGGCCUGGGUUUUGGGCAAGGUUCACACGAGUUUGGGCUUAAAAGCCUAACCCAAGGGUGUGGGCUAUACAAUGGGUUGGGCUUGAUGGAUCACAUGGACUUGGGCCCGGCUCAAGGGUUUGGGCCCGUCUACUGGGUCUGAUGGGUUGGUUUUGCGUAUGCGGGUCGUCGGACCUAAUGGAAAGGAAAGACCGGGAUUUUGGCCAAGAUAUCUUGAGCCCCGAUUGAGCUCAAAUCCCAGCUAAACAUUACUACCCAAUACAUAAAAUUGAAGCCCGUGAGAUAAAGAAUCGAGUUAUACCUUUCUCAUGGCUAAUCGUGGCUGUAUCUCGCAAGAAUAUGCCUGUAAAGGUAAGUUCACUCGUCAGAAAAACUGGGCUUAGCACCCCCAAGGUAUCUAUGUGCUAUCUCAUUAUUCUAACACAUAACCUAGUUAGAAUUAGGCCAAAAAGACGAAAAUAGAGAGAUUUCAAGUGUCCCGAGACUUACCCAAAUCGGAAGGACGAGAAAUCUCGCUGGAGCUCUCUAUUUCCAACUUCUCUCCGAUUUGAAUACGGGUCCAUGAAUGGUUCUAUAGAUUUAGGCUCGGGAAGGAAAAUGGGACAAGGUGAGGUGAUGGUGGCAGAACUUGUAUGAGUGGCGAGUUGGUGACAUGGGUGGUCAUGGGUGUGCUCAUGGGAGAAGGAGAGAGUGGCGAGGGAGAGCUUGGGGAGGGAGAGGGACUAUAAGAGUGAGGAGAAAAGAAAGAAAAUAUAAGAGAGGCUAGGGGACGAAAAUGAAAGGUUGGCCCCAUGUGGCUCCCCAACCAAUCCCAUAAAAGACAUAAUAAGAAAAUAUCUCCCUUGAAUGUGAAAUUACCAUUUUACCCCUAACAUAGUGAAAAAUCUAGGACGGGUUGUUACACCUGCUUCGGUAAUUGGCUUGUUCUCGACGAGGCAUUUGUUUGAUUUGGUACAAUAGAUGAACUUAUUAUAAAACAAGAAGGCCUCAUGUUCUCCUUUCUUGAGGUCAUCUUUUUCUUGACCAGUAAAAUGGGUGAUGAGUUUUUUGUAAUUGAAGAAAUUCUUGUGGAGUUGUUCGCCUCGUUCUUUGGCACUUCUUGGUCCUUUUUCUUUAAGUCCUCGUAAGCACAUUCCUUGAAGACCAUCUUUAGGUCUAGGUCGAUUUAAUACUUAGAGAAGGCAAUAUCAAUUGGAAGGCCAGAUGGGGAGGUGCCGAUAAAAGUUGUCACAUCCAAUACAAUUGCCCCCAUGGGGCCGAGAGGGAGUUCCAUGGUCUUAGUAGCUGAACAUUAGAAACUUAAAGCAGCCAUCAAGAGUUCUCAGUUGAUACUAAUCUCAAUGAUCGAGAGUUUGAUGGCGUCAAAGAUACCAAGCUCUUUCCAAGAUGCACCGAAGUGAGGUUCUAUUCGGUCAACCCAAGCGGCCUAAGAUACAAGGGUAAAAGGCCACGUCCCUUGGGGUUUGGCUGAAUCCCAUUUUAAGUAGUCAUGGCCUUGGAAUAGAGGAUUCAAGCAAUUGGUCUUUAACAGCUUAGUGAUAGGUUCUGGGAUGGUAUCCUUGAACAAAGGUCCCAAAUCUUGAUGAGUUGGGAUUGCUUCAUCCUCAUAACAAAGGGCUAUGAUGGAGUUGUGGUUAAUGAAGUUUUGAGAUUUAUUGCAUUCCUUAGUAAGCUUGGUGAUGAAGGUGUUAGAAGCCAUUGGAGAAAAGAUUGGAGGUUUUCUAGGUUCUAGAAGUUUUAUGGGUUUCGAAUAAACAGAGCAAAAUCUUUAAUAAUUAUUGCAAAAUUUGAAAAUCCAAGCAAAGAGGCUGAAAAGCACGCGAAUUGAGGUUGCACAAUUGCGUGUAAUGGCAAACUUUGAGGCACGAUCUUUAUGAAGAGAUGUUUCAACGUCUACGCACCUCAAGCGUGGUGCGUGUGCGUCGUCGAAGUUAGAUAGUCAUGAUAAGAGGUGGCCACGUGUCAGGAAUUUGGUACUUUUAAAGACUGACAUGCAGAGUGGGGGUUCAUGUCUUAUAAAUGCAUCUGACUGGGUGAAUGGAGAAUAUUCCUUUGGUAAGGAUUGUUGGUUUGGCCAUAUAGUGUAGGCCAAAAAUUUAUUUUUGGUUGGUAACUACUCGUUCUUUAAGGCUAAAGUUCAGCCGGAUGUUGUAGGCCGAAGACCUCAAAAGCGAGGGGGCAAUGUUUGGGCCCAAAAUAACACUUUGGGCUAAGCCCAAGAUUGUUCUCGGUCCAAUAAGGAAUAUCGAGAAUGUUCUCUACAAUGGGCUUAGCCCAAUAAAGUUCAGUCGAAUCCUAUCAGAAAAUGGUUUUAUCUGGAUAGGGGUGAGGUGGUCGAAUCCUAGUCCAAUAAGGAUUCUUCGAAUCAGAAAAGAUGCCAAGAAUCAAGGUUUAAAUCUGAAUGAUUAAGGAGCUGGGUUCAGAGUCCUAUGAAUGUCAAGAUUGGUCGAGAUCUAUUCGGAUUGGGUUAAGGAAUCCUAGUCCGAGUGAAGUUCUACCUUGAUCAUUGAGGAAAUUGCUACUAUAAAUAAAGAGGGGAGUGCAUCAUUCAAAGACCCUCCAAAUCAACACACAAUUGAUCUGUGCAAACAACCUCUCAAAGACUUUGAGAUUUUUAUUUUCUUUUUUCCUUCCAACACACCUUCAGUUUGGAUAAACAGUAGUGUGGAGGCCAUCGGCAACAUCUUCAGUUUGGGUAAACAACACUGGAGCCGUAGAAUCAGCUGACCAAGAAACCCAAGGAUUAGAAUUAGUUUUAAUCUUAGACAAGGUUUUAUUCAAAAAGUAAUCUUAGACAAUGUUAGAAGAAUUUUCCGAUGAUUUUGUCCCAUAUCCAAAUUUCCAAACCUUUUUUGGGUGAUUUUUGGCGUAUUAGAUCUUCAAGUAUAUACAAACAUAUUUGGCAGUUGGAUAUUGAAACCAGUUUCAUAGAAUGGGUGCCCAGUCAAAACAAUAGAUUCCAAAACAUUUAGAGUUUAUUCUAUACUUUAAUUAAGUAGAAUGUAACCUUUUGUUGUAUCCAUUACUUUAAAUAUUUUAAAUUCAUGAUAGAGUUUGUUCUUUGUAUUCUUCUAGGAUUGAGGCUUAUAUUUGUUAAAAAAAUUAUCACAAUCGGAGCUAAAACGAUCGUUAAAUCGUGAUUUUUCAUUUCUAACUAUUGAAUGAUUUCAUCCAAUUACCUAAUCUUUGAACAUUUGUGUUGAUGCAAAAAAUCAGUGAGGACUUUGGUACAACAGAAAGCGUUAAGUUUGUGACCUUCGCUAGAUUGCUUCGGUCACUAGUAUGGAUAAGUAUGUAAAUGGAUAGAGAUAGGGAAGCAAACACAAGAUGUACGUGGUUCACCCAGGUUGGCUACGUCCACGGAGUAGAGGAGUUCUCAUUAAUUGUGAAGGGUUUACACAAGUACAUAGGUUCAAGCUCUCCUUUAGUGAGUACAAGUGAAUGAUUUAGUACAAAUGACAUUAGGAAAUAUUGUGAAAGAAUGAUCUCUAUUUAUAGAAGAGAGUUUCUAGUUUCAUUCUGACAUUGACACGUGUCGUGUUGUGAUUGGCUUCUAAUGUUGACAUGUGUCGCGCUAUGAUUGGCUUCUUAUGUCGACACGUGUCGCGCUGUGAUUGGCCUCCUGGUUGGAGGGAAACUCUUCUGG
This 11255-nucleotide long non-coding RNA is filed under the name Malus domestica (apple). RNAcentral describes it as "long non-coding RNA (MDOM_LNC004196)". The record is from RNAcentral. Lineage: Eukaryota; Viridiplantae; Streptophyta; Magnoliopsida; Rosales; Rosaceae.